GGGUUUUAAGGCAAGCAAACAACUUUCUUUAUUUCAAAGGCUCAUUGGCCUUUUGCAGGGUGUUUCAAUUUUAUCAAAUGAGGUCAAAUAUACCAAGUCCCAAAAUUAUCCUAAGUCAAGAGGGAAAUAACUUUUCAUGUUAUAAUUGGAAUCUAAUGUGCACAGUGUGUGAAUAGCUUAAAGUGGAAGAACUAAAUUCAAUUUCAAUAGAAGCUUCAACAAUUGAACCACUUUAGUGAGCAUAAUCCAUACUCUAAGUCAAGUGAAAAACAACAGUUCAAUUUCUCCUGUUUUAAUUUGAAAUUUUUUCCUCAAAAUUCAUGGAGAAUAGAGUAAAAAGAGUAAAAAGCAAAAACUACAACUAAUUUACCAAAAUAAUUGCAUUACUAAAAAGGCUUAGCAUACUUCCUUUAAUUUAGCAUAACUUCCUUCCUCAUUCCCCCCCAACUGAACUGAGCAUUGUCCUCAAUGUGAUAUGAGUGAUUGUAAUUAAAGGGAGGAAGUGGUACCUCCCGAUUGAUAUCAAUUUCGCAUACUGAUUGGAGAAACCACAUGUUUCAAAAAGAAUAGAAUAUGUGAGAAAAGGAAAUAAGGAUAACUUAAUGCUAAAGGUUAACAAGAAAUAUUAAACUUGUAUUACUUUGAAUCUAUAUGAGUAUAAUGUAAAAGAAAAGCAAUACAAGCAAUCCCAAAUAUAGUACCAAAAUAAUGGGAUUUCUUUCCAACUAAAAAUGAAAUACAUAAAAGAAAAGCAAUAUUGUGGACCUGCAUUUUUCACGUGUGUCCCCACUCGAUCGGCGAGACUCGCUUUUUAUAUUUGUGAAAAAUUAAUUUUUAGAAAAAGUUGGAGUCGCCACUUAUUUUAUUUUUAUUUUAAAGGGAAAAUAAAACAAGAAAGAAAAACCCUAAAAUGUGACUCCAUAAUUUUUGGAAAAAGCAUGUCUUUGAAAAACCCGAGUCUAAGUCCGGGGAUCAGGUUACUUAUUGGGAAGGUACCUCUAGGAGGUAGCACCCCUCUAAGCCCUAAAGAGGUCUCUACUGACUAAGUUAAGGGAAGUGUGGCCAUUAAUCAGUUAAUUAUGGAUACCUGAGUAGGCUAGGUGAUUUCAAAUAUUGCAUGUCUAAUAAGAAAACAAACCAUAAGAGAGAGUCGAAGUGCGUACCUGAAUGGCUUCUCAAGCGCUAUCAUGAAACAUAAGAGAUUAGUUUGGAAAUAUGACACAACAUUUGUUUUAUCUAAGCAAAUCAAGCAUAUAUCAAAACACCCAAAAAUUACAUCAUGUAUGGAUAUAGUCAUCAAUAACGCAUGUGUCCAUGGAAUUUUCAAAAAUAGGUGUGAAGGAGCGUACCUGGAUGGCAAGCUAAAACGUUACUAUGGGAAACAAGAUUGCUUAAUAAUAGGUGCAUAAUAAUCUCAUGUAUCUCAAAAAGAAAGCACAAUUAAUCAAAUGUCAAACAAACACUAUUGAAGAGGAUAUCAUUAAUGUCGGGCCCCCACCAAAGCCCUAAUUAAUUUUGCAUGAGUUGAUUCCAUGAAUUCCAUGAUUUGGAAUUAUGAAGUUUAUUCAUGCUUGAGAAAAUCAAGAAAAAUCAAGAAAAUCAAUUGAAAAUAAAAGAAAAUAGUUGAAAAUAAAAGAAAAUAGUGAAAAUGCUUGCCUGGAGGAAAGUGGCAGCAAAUUUAUUAAAAUCCGGAUUUUAGUGACUAGAAGGGUUCUAAAGAUGGAUUUUUCAAAGCUGGAAACGCUUAGUCGUAAAAGAAUUCAAAAAUUCAAUUGAAAACAAUAAAUUUCCAAUCAAAGAAGCAAAGAGAGGAGGAAGUGUGUGCAGCAAGAUAGCCAUGGUGGACUGGAGCUUGGGAGGUUUAGCUGUUGCUGGAUUGCUGAUGGUUGUAUGAAGAGGCCUUCGUGCAUUGCUGGCAUGUCUGGAGUAGAGCUAGCCAUAUUCAUUUCAAAGCACGUGCUCGCUUGAGAAACCCUGAUGAAACUUUUAUGCAGGUCAUGAGGUAAAAGUGUUGGUGCACAAUUGAAAUCCUCCAACAGUUUCUGUGCAACUUUUUCUCGUUCACUUGCAUCUAUUUUAACCUUGAGAGACCCCACAUAAAUAAACUCUGUUUCAGGGGAGAAACCAUCCUUUAAAUGCAAUAGAAAGACAUCUUCAUCUAAACUAAAGCAUCAUUUGACAAUCACUUUAUCUCUUUCAAGAUGCAGCCAAGGUAUUCUCUGAUUUAUCUACAGUCAUGAUGUUGUGAAAAUCAGCUGUGAGUCCUUUCAAAAAUCUGGCAAAGCUCCUCUUCAAGAAACUAUAUUGUCCCCCUUAAAAAUCUGGUCCUGCUUCUUCUUUCAAGAUCUUCAUUCUCCAUAUUUCUGAGUUUAAAUUCCAAAAUCUCAUGUGAAGAUUCAUUGGCUGCAGAUAUGUCCUGACGGAUGGCCUGACUCCAACAUGUAAUAACUUUCUAUGAAUUCUGGGUCCACAUCUGGUUUGGGAAUGUGUGGAAAUAGAUUCUCUUCUCUUAACAUCCGAAUUCUGUUUCUAUUGUCAACUUGCUCACAAACAAUUUUCUUCAACUGAAAGCUCGCGUUCUUAAUUGAUUUUCAGAUGUCCAGUUCCUCGGAUGACUCCUCGUUCUUCAGGCGUAUCAAAUUGCCCAUAAUAAGAAAUUAAUCCUCAGUCAACAAGAUUCCGCAACUUAGUCGCGUGUGUGAAGGCAAAUGGGCAGUAAGCUAGGGACUUUCUGAUGGAUCUUGCAUUUCUGGACUUUUGAAAGUGGCUGCCAAGAAUACACCAAGCUCCUCUAUCCUCUUGUUCCUCCUGAAGGUUUCUUCUCUCUUCUCUGCCGCAACAAGCGUUUCAAUAUUGAAAACAGAAACAAACCCUGUAUUAUGUGAAGGUUGUCUAAGCAUGCUAGUUGAUGGCGAUGCUUUGGGAAGGACAAAGUAAACCAGUUGGGGAAGGCACAGCUGCAGAAACACCAGUAGCAGUCUGUGACGAUGCCAUUUGUUAGGAUUGAGACAACUAACUAUUGACUGCCAAGUGCAUCACUUGUGGAAACGUUUGAAGCAUGACCAAUGGGAGGUAGAAUUGGUCUCCCAUAAUUAAUCAAGGAUGCAGAUGUUUUAUGCCUGUCACCAAUAAACCCUUGAUGUCUUUGUCGUGCUGGUAGUGGAGAUAAGGUCUGUUGUCUAGGCUGUAUGGUCCUAGAUCCUUCCACCGUUAACAUCCUUCUUGGCUCCCAAAGCUUGAUCAAUAACAGAGAGUUCAUCUUCGCAUUCCUUCAUGAUUGUCAAGGCCAACUACUCGUUCGCAAUUAUAUUUGAAUUUCAUCUUUGCAAGAGGUUCCAGGUACGGGCUGGUUAAGUAUCCAAUGAGUGAGCCCUUGGUCUGAAUGAGAGAAUAAACCUAUUACUGGUUCGAAAUUCUUCUUAAUCUUCUCUUGAAACAUAUUUAGCCAUUCACUAUUCUGGACAUUUAAUCAAGGUGGCAGAAAUUGAUCUUUUUAGUAUGUCUCCAAUGCCUUCCAAGAUCUCCAUUAUUAGCGAUUUUGUCACCUCCUUUGAUGCUUCGAGUUUGAGUAUUAUCAAAACUACUACUGCAACCCGGAGUAUAAAAAUUUUAAUUCCAUCCUCUAAACUACUAGGCAUCGUGUUUAAGCAAGUUAAACAGGUUAACUUAGAGGCUUCUUCUGGAAUUUUCCCCAAUCAGUUGACAACUUUGGGCAUAGAAUACCUGCAGUGUUCUCGCUUCCAAAGACGAGAAGAGUAGCUUUUAUUAAGUUUUUAUAUCAUGUAAGUCCUCCAUAUUCUUUGCAUACCAAAAAUAACAAACGCCAAUUUCAGAAGUAGCCAAGACAUGUAAGCCCGACUUAUCCGCAUCCCCAUUGUCAAUGUACCUGCUAUCUAAGAAGACAACAGGGUGCUCCAUUCAGAAAUAGCUAAGAACACAGCUGGCUGACUGUUUUAUUUCGAUACCAUCAAUUCUCCAAACUACAAUACAUUUCUCACCAAUAACGGAUGAUACGAUGUACUCCCCAUCAUCAGUAGAGAUCAUACGACGAACAACUUCAGGAUGACCUGAAAACUUUCGUAUCUUCUUGUGAUCAGAAGAAUUGGAGACCUUUGAUUGAGCCGCUGUCAAAACAAACAUAGAUGAUAUUGCCUUUGUAGAAGCUCUAAAUUUCCCCAAUAGGUUUUCUGUACAGCAGAUACAUCAAGUGCUAAAACAUCAUCACUGCCUGUUUUCUUUUUUUUUUUUAGUUACCCAAGCAAUUCAGUAAUUAAUGCCCAUCUGCAGCCUAUGGAAGAGAACUUGACACAAAAGAAUAACUGGAACCAAAGCUCCUUCAUAGACAAAAGUGAUAAAGGUUGAAUGAACAUGCCAUUGUUAGAUGUUUCAAGGUCCUCUGACAAGACAAAAACAAUCUGCAUAGCUCAUAAUGAUCAUGGCAACAUAAUGCGCAACGACACUUUAUUAGCCUUCAAACCACAAACCUUUCAAAGUUGAGAAUACAACUUGUAUAAAGGAAGAAUGAUCUAGAAUUUAAAUAUCCUUUUGGCAUCCAGUACGAUAGAUUAAGCGAGCUUUGACAAGUUGUAAAUUCCAUGCUCUAUAAAAGACAAGGCUUUCUUUUCUUCGUUAAAUUCUGUAGGCAGCCUAUGAAGUCAGUUCUGUCACUGAUACAUAACCAUUAGUUACAUACUUGGCGCUUGAAACAGCCACUGAUCAGUUAUCAAAGGCACUUACAAUCUCUUGCCAAUGGAGUGAUAAAUUGAGGUCAAAAUCUCUGUAUGCUGCAUCCUUAAAUAAUGGUGAUAAUGACUUCUCCAGAUUACGGCAAAACCUUGAUGCAAUGUAUUUUUCAUCAACAUUCGAAACAGACAUUGGAAUUUUCUGUAGGCUGGCAGAAUUAUUGGCAAUUUCGACAUCAGAAAUUGCAGCAAGACUAAAUCUUGACUUGCACCUCUUCCUUCAUCUCAUGGAAACAAACUGAGAGGUUUGGACAUUAGGAUCUGCACUUUUUCCAUAGAACUGGAGCACCUUUUCAGAAGUCCCUUCUUUGGUCCCAGCAAAAGACUUUAGAGCUUCAACAAGAAAAGUCAAUAACUCUUUGGCCAGAUGCAAUCGUCUUGCUGUGGUCUUUUUGCAUUUGAAAACAUGUCCUGGAGUAAAGCUUCUCUGGUCAAAUCAGGUCCUUGUCCAAAAAGCUCUUGUACAGGGUAUUCGAGAAUUCAACUGCUUCAAGUCUCUUUAGUAUAUAACAAUCAGCCAAGGCUUAACAAAAAGAACAAAGUUGCAUCUCCUAAUGUUCCUUUCCCCAAGGUUAAGAUCUCUAGAUUCCUUAAAGAAGACAUUGCUGUUCUGACCUAAUGUGGCAUUCUCACACCUAUUGUAAUCACCUUCUCCAUUCUCAGUUGAGAGCUUCAAUGCUACAGCAUCUAAACAGGUGAGCAACCUCCUCCCCUGAGCCAGUGUUUUUGAGUCCCUCGAAUCAUGAAAAAUAGAAACUGACCUAGCAAAAUCAAGUAAACCAGUAAAACCCAAGCUUUGUCUAAGGCCAAGGCUAACUAAAGUCUCCAAAGUUUCAGGAUCUGAGAACUUGUCAAAGGGGAAGAAAACUUCUCUGUGAAGCAUGUCUUGCAAUUCGGGAACUCGAGGAUCAUAUAGCCUGGAUGAUUGUUGCCAUGACCCAUUGGCAGCCAAAACAAAGGGUGUGAUGGAAAGUGUAAGUUUAAUUGAGGUAUCUUCUUCAAUCAAAAGUUUCACAUCAUAUAAAAUGGCUGAAAGUGCUCCCUGCUGUGAAAGAAAUUCUGGCGUGCAAGUGACUACAUAAUCUUUGUAGAAUUCUGCCCUUGAAGGUUCCUUAACCUCUAAAUACCUUCUCGGAAUGAUUCUUUCUUUUUCUGAAUCCGUGCGUACAAAGUCAUCAUUCAAAAGAUCUUCAGACACACCAUUUGGUUUAAGCAAUUUAGUGGGUUUACUCAAACAUACUAGUUUUCUAUUUCUGAACGAUUCAAACAUGGGAAGGUGUUUGAUGACAUCAAUAUGUGUGUCAUCCAUCUGACCUUCGGAGAACCACUUUGACUGAAGAAUAAAACUCCUAAGUUCAUGAAGCUCCCCUUCUGAUGCAUCACAGAAAAGUUUCUGAACAUUCUUCGGAUUAUGAGCAAGUGCCAGUAAGGCAUUCAAAAUGCCAGUUGCUGUUGGCAGCUGCACAUAAUUUUUCAACUGUGGAUGCUCUAUAGGCAGGUCAUUCCUCAAAAAUAGGCAUCCUACUUUCAAUAACAAAGAACAUAUGUUCUCAUUCCACCCAUCAUCUUUUAUCACAUUUGAAUUUUCAACCAGCUUCAAGAGAUAAUUAUUCCCAACGGGUAAAAUAGGCCACUUCGAAAAUUCUGAGAGAUCAUCACAACAUGACUUCAAAUAAAUCCAUAGUAGUCUUAACCAUUCUAAACUUGGUUGGCCUUGAUGACCAGGGUUCCAAAUUACCUGUUUGGCAUGCUGCCACUCUGCUGGGAGUAAUCUUAGGAAAAGUUUUUCAAGCAAAUAGCAUGUCAGAAAAGAAAUAUUUAAGUCUUCUGUUUGGGCAAUAUCACAUAGCUUCAUAUGAAUUCCUUCCGGAAUUCCAGAGUCUACAAGUUGAUGCGGAAUUGAAUCCUUAAGAAGACCAUACUCAUCUCCACGUGCAAUAUAAAUCCUUUCACCCACUCCCAUCUUGUCAAAUGCUGUAAAUAAACCAUUGGCAAGGGGUAGCAAAGGUAAGCCAUACAAACUAUCAGGUCGAACUGGCAUUUUCAAGUCAAGUAAGCAAUAUUCAAGUGUCAAUAUCAUUUCAUUCCUGUCCCUAAAUCCACGUUUCCGCCGAAUCAACAGAGUUCUCAACAACUGAGGUGUCAGGAAACGCAAUGAUGGACAAAACUCCAUAAACCUCUCGACAAUAUUGACUCCUACCUAGAUGUCUUAGUUGUCUUCUUCAUAACUGAAGGUCUUCUACCAAUUUUUUAGGAUUGAUGAGGCUGCAUAUCUUAAAUCACUCUGACAGGACCACUUCAAACGGGGUUCACAAGCAAUGGGAUAUUCUCUCCAUAGAACUUCAGCAUGCCAUCUGGUUACUUGUUCCGUUUCCACACACUCCUCGCAUGAUUGGCCCAGAUUCAUAAAAUAAGCUCCAGUUAUGGAAUGUCAGCGGGACCCAAAGCUGAAGAAAUUCAGACCACAUAUUCGCCACUUUUCUAGUAAUCCGCGUCUCAAUCAAUGUAAGGCAUUCCGGGCUUUGAUAUCAAAGUUUCAGCAGGCAUUAUCAUUCGGUGGAGCACAUGCGAUUAUGCAGCCAAAAUCCCUCAUGAAGAACAGAGGGAUGCAACCGAGAAAACAGAGUAUAAAGAACGAAAACAAAACAAAGAUAUAAAAUUGAGGAACUCAUGAAAGCCUUAUUUCAAAUUUCAUUCAACAGGCUCGGAUCGGUGGGAGGAUGAUCAGGAACAGAUUCGAGGCAAACUAGCAAAUAGCCAAUAUCAACAAACAAUUUUGUGGCCCUCUUCGUCCACACCAAAGAACAGUAUAUUAAACAUUAAAACGAACAUACAGAAGAAAAAUCAGAUAUGGGUAAGAAUUCCAAAAGUAACGAGAAAAAUACCUGGAUGAUCUCGGUUGCACUUGCUCCUUUCCUGCUCCUUUGUGCUUUCUCCUCAAAAAUCCUCAGAAUUUCUCCCAAUCCUCCAAUGCGUCUGCCAGUCCCCCUCUUUUUCUUUUUCUUUUCUCACCUAUAUAUAUCACCCCUCAAGACCUAAAUUUGUUUCCAAAAAGGAAAAUUCUCCUU
This 7810-nucleotide long non-coding RNA is filed under the name Vitis vinifera (wine grape). Its description in RNAcentral is "long non-coding RNA (VVIN_LNC006813)". The record is from RNAcentral. Lineage: Eukaryota; Viridiplantae; Streptophyta; Magnoliopsida; Vitales; Vitaceae.